RNAcentral lists this transfer RNA (112 nucleotides) under Trichosporon asahii var. asahii CBS 8904. It matches the Rfam family "tRNA". Rfam says of the family: Transfer RNA (tRNA) molecules are approximately 80 nucleotides in length. The record is from Rfam by way of RNAcentral. Lineage: Eukaryota; Fungi; Basidiomycota; Tremellomycetes; Trichosporonales; Trichosporonaceae.
GGCGAGAUGGCCGAGCGGUCUAAGGCGCUGUGUUAAGGCUCAUGAUCUCGGAGUUCCGAGUUCGGUGUCCCCCCGCAGUCUUCGGACGUGGGUUCGAAUCCCACUCUCGUCA